GAGUUUUACCUUGGCUCGGAAUGACGGCUACGGCCUUCCUUACCACAUGCAAUCGAAGGAGAAAUUCCUUAAAUGAUUUUUCGAGUUGAUUUUAAGAAGGAAAGCGGGGAACGGGUGAGUACGCGUUGGCAACCCUCCUCUCACAACGGAUAGCCCACUGGAAAACGGUGAUUAAAACUUCAUAAACCCCACUCUGAGACAUCUCAGGAAUGGCCAAAGAUUUAUCGGUGAGAGAUGGGCGUGCGUCUGAUUAGCUUGUUGGCGGGGUAACAGCCCACCAAGGCGAUGAUCAGUAGCCGACCUGAGAGGGUGAUCGGCCACAUUGGAACUGAGACACGGUCCAAACUCCUACGGGAGGCAGCAGUGGGGAAUAUUGCACAAUGGGCGAAAGCCUGAUGCAGCAACGCCGCGUGAAGGAUGAAGGCCUUCGGGUAGUAAACUUCUGUCCUUGCGGAAGAAGAACUGACGGUACCCUUGGAGGAAGCCCCGGCUAACUACGUGCCAGCAGCCGCGGUAAUACGUAGGGGGCAAGCGUUAUCCGGAAUUAUUGGGCGUAAAGUGUGCGUAGGUGGUCCUUUACGCGCAGGGUUUAAGGCAAUGGCCCAACCAUUGUUUGCCCUGCGAACUGGAGGACUUGAGUGCAGGAGAGGAAAGCGGAAUUCCUAGUGUAGCGGUGAAAUGCGUAGAUAUUAUGAGGAACACCAGUGGUGAAGGCGGCCCCCUGGACGAAGACUGACGCUCAGGUGCGAAAGCGUGGGGAGCAAACAGGAUUAGAUACCCUGGUAGUCCACGCCGUAAACGAUGUCGACUUGGAGGUUGUGCCCUUGAGGCGUGGCUUCCGGAGCUAACGCGUUAAGUCGACCGCCUGGGGAGUACGGCCGCAAGGUUAAAACUCAAAUGAAUUGAUGGGGGCCCGCACAAGCGGUGGAGCAUGUGGUUUAAUUCGAUGCAACGCGAAGAACCUUACCUGGUCUUGACAUCCACGGAAGUUUUCAGAGAUGAGAAUGUGCCUUCGGGAACCGUGAGACAGGUGCUGCAUGGCUGUCGUCAGCUCGUGUUGUGAAAUGUUGGGUUAAGUCCCGCAACGAGCGCAACCCUUAUCCUUUGUUGCCAGCGGUCCGGCCGGGAACUCAAAGGAGACUGCCAGUGAUAAACUGGAGGAAGGUGGGGAUGACGUCAAGUCAUCAUGGCCCUUACGACCAGGGCUACACACGUGCUACAAUGGCGCAUACAAAGAGAAGCGACCUCGCGAGAGCAAGCGGACCUCAUAAAGUGCGUCGUAGUCCGGAUUGGAGUCUGCAACUCGACUCCAUGAAGUCGGAAUCGCUAGUAAUCGUGGAUCAGAAUGCCACGGUGAAUACGUUCCCGGGCCUUGUACUCACCGCCCGUCA
Molecule: ribosomal RNA, 1391 nt
Filed under: uncultured bacterium
Lineage: Bacteria
Description: partial 16S ribosomal RNA
Rfam family: Bacterial small subunit ribosomal RNA
Source: RNAcentral